GACGAACCGAGCGACCGUUAUUCGGAAUCACUGGGCUUAAAGGGUGCGUAGGCGGGCGAUCAAGUCAGGGGUGAAAGCCUCCAGCUCAACUGGAGAAGUGCCUUUGAUACUGGUCGUCUCGAGGGAGGUAGGGGCGUGCGGAACUUCCGGUGGAGCGGUGAAAUGCGUAGAUAUCGGAAGGAACACCAGUGGCGAAAGCGGCGCGCUGGACCUCUUCUGACGCUGAGGCACGAAAGCGUGGGGAGCAAACAGG
Molecule: ribosomal RNA, 253 nt
Filed under: uncultured bacterium
Lineage: Bacteria
Description: partial 16S ribosomal RNA
Rfam family: Bacterial small subunit ribosomal RNA
Source: RNAcentral